Long non-coding RNA from Uranotaenia lowii, 1866 nucleotides. RefSeq lists it as uncharacterized. The transcript has 4 exons. Lineage: Eukaryota; Metazoa; Arthropoda; Insecta; Diptera; Culicidae. The record is from RefSeq and is a predicted model, not a curated record.
AUCGAAAAGUGCAAAUCAUCUAAAAAAGUUAUCACAGCGAGAAAACGUGUGUGCGAAAUUGCUUAUAUUAAUACUUCCUUUCUGAGUAUCAGGUGUUGUAAUUAUCAGCAUAAUAUUAUCAGGUUAUAAAAACAGAAGUUGCUAUAGCGACUAAUAUCAUAACCUGACCGGAGCUGCUCAGAAACCACCAAUUAAAAAGAAUCCUAUAAACCGGCAAUUGGUGCUCAGUCGGCAAACGGAACACUAAGGCUAACUUACCUUAUUGAUCAAGCCGAACAUAUGAGAUCUUCGUUAAGUGCGGACAACAUACUAAACGGAUUUAAAAUACAGCAUCAUAAUUGUAAACUGCGUAUUCGUGAUCCGGAAAUAUUGUUGACAAAGAACAGGCAGUCUUCAGAAAGCUGCUCCAGGGUCACGUCGUUCCGGUCCUCGAUUUUUGCCAACAGUCUAGUACGCACCUCUGCAUCACACUCCGCUUUCAUGCCGCAAACAAAUAAUAAACAUUUGAACUGCUCCUCCGUCAAUUUACUCAGCUCAAAAUCGACCGCGUUCUUGGUUGUCUGCAGGCAACGAUAUCGCUUGCUGAUGAGCGAUUCAGCAGCACCAAACAGGAUCCCCAAUUUCCGAACUGUUUCAUCGAAUUGGUAAUCCUUCGGUAGCUUCGGAAGAAUUAAGUUGACGUACCGUUCAUGUUCGGCGGAACCCAUCUUCCGGAGAAGCAAACGCACUUUUGCUUCGCUGUCGAGCCGGGAAGCGUCUUGCUCGAACAGGUCCUUGUACCGCGCGUACCAAGCCACGAACGUAAUGUUGUUGUCCCGUACCGGAACUCCUUAAUGUGAUGCGACAGUGAAUCUAAAAUCACUUCUGGGUGUGAUGGAAUUUGCACACUAAUUGAUGACAGCGUACGGAGGAACAUUUCCUGCUGCUGCCGCAUGAAUUCCUGCUGCUAUUGCAGCAUUUGUGUCGCAAAUGCUUGCUGCUGUUGGAGGAACUGGGAGAGAAGUGCGUCGGUAGUUGGUGAAAACUGGUGCGAUGAUUGCUGCUGCUGCUGCUGUUGCUGCUGCUGCCCGGGGAACUGAAGAGUAAGUCCCGUCGGUGGCUGUUGACCGAAGCGUGUGUGGGAGAAAAUCGGGAAGCCUUCCACCACCCCUGCACUACGUAAUGCAUCUACGGCUUCUGGUGCCCCCCUCCAGCUCCUUUUCAAAUUCCAGUGUGACGUCAACGUCAAUGGCCAGCAGCGCCGUGGGACAUUUCACGUGGUCGACAAAUCGUUUAACGUGUUCGGACUCGAUUUGCUUGACGCUUUUGGGCCUUGGUCUGUGCCGAUUUCUACUUUUUGCAACCAGAGUGUCAAACCAUCCAUAUCGUCGGAGUCAUUUGAGGCAGCACCACGUUCCAAACAUUCAGCAUCCAGCACUUCACCACAGCACAAUCGCACAGCAAGGCUGAACCAUUUCGGGAAAAUCGAGAGGGGAGAAGUUCGGUUCCAAUAAGUGAGGAUCUGAGCACAUUUUGCGUAGCUCCAACAACACCGAAAAAUCUUGGACAGUCUCCAGAUACUUCACCGAUAUCCCGUCUCUCUCAACGUCUCCUUCUCCAUCAUCAACAAGCUCUGCUGACCCAGUAGAGGUCAACGAACAGCUGUGUAGGUGCCUCGUCGUUCUUCGCGAACCAGAAGACCGCCGAUCCGGUUCAACCCGCACCGGCUGUAUUAAGGGAGGAGAUGUUAGGGCGUGAAACACCCUACAAACAAUACCGCUGGGCUCACUGCUGACAGCCUCUCUGUCAGCCGAUCGACGCGCCAACCGGCGGGUAGAAAACAACAACAACAACCAAUCACUUUAUGUUUUGUAUUGUAAACGUUUA